RNAcentral lists this ribosomal RNA (470 nucleotides) under uncultured Oscillospiraceae bacterium. Its description in RNAcentral is "bacterial SSU rRNA". It matches the Rfam family "Bacterial small subunit ribosomal RNA", at positions 917 to 1381 of the family's 1533-position model. Lineage: Bacteria; Bacillati; Bacillota; Clostridia; Eubacteriales; Oscillospiraceae. The record is from RNAcentral.
ACGGGGCCGCACAAGCAGUGGAGUAUGUGGUUUAAUUCGAAGCAACGCGAAGAACCUUACCAGGGCCUGACAUCCCUUGAAGCAGCUAGAGAUAGCUGUGUCCUUCGGGACAAGGAGACAGGUGGUGCAUGGUUGUCGUCAGCUCGUGUCGUGAGAUGUUGGGUUAAGUCCCGCAACGAGCGCAACCCCUGUGGUUAGUUGCCAGCAAGUAGCGUUGGGCACUCUAGCCAGACUGCCGGUGAUAAAUCGGAGGAAGGUGGGGACGACGUCAAAUCAUCAUGCCCUUUAUGUCCUGGGCUACACACGUACUACAAUGGCCGUUACAACGGGAAGCGAAGGAGCAAUCCGGAGCCAAAAUCCCCUUAAAGGACGGUCCCAGUUCAGAUUGUGGGCUGAAACUCGCCCACAUGAAGGCGGAAUUGCUAGUAAUUGCAGAUCAGCAUGCUGCAGUGAAUACGUUCCCGGGCCUU